This 643-nucleotide ribosomal RNA is filed under the name Bifidobacterium animalis subsp. animalis. Its description in RNAcentral is "bacterial SSU rRNA". It matches the Rfam family "Bacterial small subunit ribosomal RNA", at positions 67 to 709 of the family's 1533-position model. The record is from RNAcentral. Lineage: Bacteria; Bacillati; Actinomycetota; Actinomycetes; Bifidobacteriales; Bifidobacteriaceae.
GGAUCCCUGGCAGCUUGCUGUCGGGGUGAGAGUGGCGAACGGGUGAGUAAUGCGUGACCAACCUGCCCUGUGCACCGGAAUAGCUCCUGGAAACGGGUGGUAAUACCGGAUGCUCCGCUCCAUCGCAUGGUGGGGUGGGAAAUGCUUUUGCGGCAUGGGAUGGGGUCGCGUCCUAUCAGCUUGUUGGCGGGGUGAUGGCCCACCAAGGCGUUGACGGGUAGCCGGCCUGAGAGGGUGACCGGCCACAUUGGGACUGAGAUACGGCCCAGACUCCUACGGGAGGCAGCAGUGGGGAAUAUUGCACAAUGGGCGCAAGCCUGAUGCAGCGACGCCGCGUGCGGGAUGGAGGCCUUCGGGUUGUAAACCGCUUUUGUUCAAGGGCAAGGCACGGUUUCGGCCGUGUUGAGUGGAUUGUUCGAAUAAGCACCGGCUAACUACGUGCCAGCAGCCGCGGUAAUACGUAGGGUGCGAGCGUUAUCCGGAUUUAUUGGGCGUAAAGGGCUCGUAGGCGGUUCGUCGCGUCCGGUGUGAAAGUCCAUCGCCUAACGGUGGAUCUGCGCCGGGUACGGGCGGGCUGGAGUGCGGUAGGGGAGACUGGAAUUCCCGGUGUAACGGUGGAAUGUGUAGAUAUCGGGAAGAACAC